Molecule: microRNA precursor, 367 nt
Filed under: Gossypium raimondii (Peruvian cotton)
Lineage: Eukaryota; Viridiplantae; Streptophyta; Magnoliopsida; Malvales; Malvaceae
Description: miR8637 stem-loop (gra-MIR8637)
Rfam family: MIR7502 microRNA precursor family (bases 111-255)
Source: miRBase by way of RNAcentral
AGUACCAUGGAGGCCCCUGUAUUGAGAGUCGGAUUGCUUAUUGCCCCUUCUACUCAAAAAAUGGGCAAAUUAGUUCCUGUACGUAAGGUCAAAGAGCAAGCUAGUCUUUCUGUUAAAAAUUACAUCCAGUUUUACAGUUAAAAACUGGUCCCUAUAUGUCAGCGUAAAGUAUACGUGGUAUGCCAAAUGUAACAGUUUAGUUAUUUUGUCAGCCAUAUCAAUUUUUAACAAUAGAAAUGAAAGAAAUUUUUAACAGAAAGAACCAAUUUUCUCUUUGAUCUCACUUAAAAGGAUUGAUUUAGCUAUUUUUUAAGUAAAGAGGGCAAAAUGCAAUCUGACUCUUAGUACAUGGGUCUCCAUGAUACUU